GGGCGUGUAGCUCAGAGGUUAGAGCGCGUCUCUGAUAAAGACGAGGUCGGAGGUUCGAUCCCUCCCACGCCCACCA
This 76-nucleotide transfer RNA is filed under the name Parcubacteria group bacterium. RNAcentral describes it as "tRNA-Ile". It matches the Rfam family "tRNA". From Rfam's summary of the family: Transfer RNA (tRNA) molecules are approximately 80 nucleotides in length. RNAcentral also lists the same sequence under 1 other name. The record is from RNAcentral.